UACGUAGGGGGCUAGCGUUGUCCGGAAUCAUUGGGCGUAAAGAGCGUGUAGGCGGCCCGGUAAGUCCGCUGUGAAAGUCGGGGGCUCAACCCUCGAAUGCCGGUGGAUACUGUCGGGCUAGAGUGCGGAAGAGGCGAGUGGAAUUCCUGGUGUAGCGGUGAAAUGCGCAGAUAUCAGGAGGAACACCAAUUGCGAAGGCAGCUCGCUGGGACGUAACUGACGCUGGGACGCGAAAGCGUGGGGAGCAAACAGG
Molecule: ribosomal RNA, 253 nt
Filed under: uncultured bacterium
Lineage: Bacteria
Description: partial 16S ribosomal RNA
Rfam family: Bacterial small subunit ribosomal RNA
Source: RNAcentral